ACCAGACGAUGCGGUUACCGCGGCUGCUGGCACGGAGUUAGCCGGUGCUUCUUCUGUGAGUGAUGUCCUUCCUGCCGGUUAUUGACCCGCAGGCCUUCUUCCUCACUGAAAGUGCUUUACAACCCGAAGGCCUUCUUCACACACGCGGCGAUGGCUGGAUCAGGGUUGCCCCCAUUGUCCAAUAUUCCCCACUGCUGCCUCCCGUAGGAGUCUGGGCCGUGUCUCAGUCCCAGUGUGGCUGAUCAUCCUCUCAGACCAGCUACGGAUCGUCGCCUUGGUGAGCCGUUACCUCACCAACCAGCUAAUCCGACAUAGGCUCAUCCGAUAGCGCGAGGCCCGAAGGUCCCCCCGCUUUCCCCCGUAGGGCGUAUGCGGUAUUAGCCUGGGUUUCCCCAGGUUAUCCCCCACUACCGGGCAGAUUCCUAUGCAUUACUCACCCGUCCGCCGCUCGCCACCAGGGAGCAAGCUCCCCGUGCUGCCGCUCGACUUGCAUGUGUUA
Molecule: ribosomal RNA, 499 nt
Filed under: uncultured bacterium
Lineage: Bacteria
Description: partial 16S ribosomal RNA
Source: RNAcentral